RNAcentral lists this ribosomal RNA (253 nucleotides) under uncultured bacterium. RNAcentral's name for it is "partial 16S ribosomal RNA". It matches the Rfam family "Bacterial small subunit ribosomal RNA", at positions 524 to 776 of the family's 1533-position model. The record is from RNAcentral.
UACAGAGGGGGCGAGCGUUGUUCGGAAUUACUGGGCGUAAAGGGCUCGUAGGCGGCCGACUAAGUUAGACGUGAAAUCCCUCAGCUUAACUGGGGAACUGCGUCUGAUACUGGAUGGCUUGAGUUUGGGAGAGGGAUGCGGAAUUCCAGGUGUAGCGGUGAAAUGCGUAGAUAUCUGGAGGAACACCGGUGGCGAAGGCGGCAUCCUGGACCAGCACUGACGCUGAGGAGCGAAAGCCAGGGGAGCAAACGGG